Molecule: unclassified non-coding RNA, 234 nt
Filed under: Zea mays
Lineage: Eukaryota; Viridiplantae; Streptophyta; Magnoliopsida; Poales; Poaceae
Description: misc RNA Zm00001eb349420
Source: RNAcentral
UUGGAGGAACGUGCGGCAAGGAAACAGGCACUGCUGAAGCAGAGGGCGCUAUGGGGGAGCUCGACUAGGGAACUCCGCGAGAGAGAUGGAGAUGGGCUGGGCACAGGGAAGAUGGACGAGCGCGCGUGCUUGAGGGAGACGAACUGGGGCAGGGAGGACGCGGCAGGUAAACCUCAGUCCGAGCGCCGUCCGAGCAAGGGCCAGGGCGCGGCCAGAAUGGAAGCAGAGGCUUGA